This 440-nucleotide ribosomal RNA is filed under the name uncultured bacterium. Its description in RNAcentral is "bacterial SSU rRNA". It matches the Rfam family "Bacterial small subunit ribosomal RNA", at positions 338 to 769 of the family's 1533-position model. The record is from RNAcentral.
CCUACGGGGGGCAGCAGUGGGGAAUCUUGGGCAAUGGGCGAAAGCCUGACCCAGCAAUACCGCGUGAGGGAUGAAGGCCUUCGGGUCGUAAACCUCUGUCAGCAGGAACGAUGGGUCUCCGUGCUAAUACCAUGGAGACUUGACGGUACCUACAAAGGAAGCCCCGGCUAACUACGUGCCAGCAGCCGCGGUAAUACGUAGGUGGCAAGCGUUGUCCGGAUUUACUGGGCGUAAAGAGCGCGCAGGCGGUCGUUCAAGUCGAGUGUGAAAGCCCCCGGCUCAACUGGGGAGGGUCACUCGAUACUGAUCGACUCGAAGGCAGGAGAGGGAAGUGGAAUUCCCGGUGUAGUGGUGAAAUGCGUAGAUAUCGGGAGGAACACCAGUGGCGAAGGCGACUUCCUGGCCUGUUCUUGACGCUGAGGCGCGAAAGCUAGGGGAGC